AAUUGGCUACAACCCUGACACAGU
RNAcentral lists this non-coding RNA (24 nucleotides) under Cricetulus griseus (Chinese hamster). Lineage: Eukaryota; Metazoa; Chordata; Mammalia; Rodentia; Cricetidae. The record is from RNAcentral.